CUCCUGUCAAGAGGCCUCCCCACCUGCUGGGGAUUCUGUCAACUCUGAAGUCCUGUAUGGUGGUGGCGGUCCCAGGAAGGUGGCGUCAGCAUCUGCAGCCGCGUCGACGUUGUCGGAGCCUCCGCGGAGGACCCAGGAGAGCCGGACUAGGACCAGGGCCCUGGGCCUCCCCACACUCCCCAUGGAGAAGCUGGCGGCCUCUACAGAGCCCCAAGG
RNAcentral lists this long non-coding RNA (216 nucleotides) under Homo sapiens (human). RNAcentral's name for it is "HSALNT0178023". The record is from RNAcentral. Lineage: Eukaryota; Metazoa; Chordata; Mammalia; Primates; Hominidae.